RNAcentral lists this ribosomal RNA (411 nucleotides) under uncultured Gammaproteobacteria bacterium. Its description in RNAcentral is "bacterial SSU rRNA". It matches the Rfam family "Bacterial small subunit ribosomal RNA", at positions 42 to 451 of the family's 1533-position model. The record is from RNAcentral. Lineage: Bacteria; Pseudomonadati; Pseudomonadota; Gammaproteobacteria.
UCAGGCCUAACACAUGCAAGUCGAGCGGUAACAGGGGUAGCUUGCUACCCGCUGACGAGCGGCGGACGGGUGAGUAAUGCUUAGGAAUCUGCCUGGUAGAGGGGGAUAGCCCGGGGAAACCCGGAUUAAUACCGCAUACGCCCUACGGGGGAAAGCAGGGGAUCUUCGGACCUUGCGCUAUUAGAUGAGCCUAAGUCGGAUUAGCUAGUUGGUGGGGUAAAGGCCUACCAAGGCGACGAUCCGUAGCUGGUCUGAGAGGAUGAUCAGCCACACUGGGACUGAGACACGGCCCAGACUCCUACGGGAGGCAGCAGUGGGGAAUAUUGGACAAUGGGCGAAAGCCUGAUCCAGCCAUGCCGCGUGGGUGAAGAAGGCCUUAGGGUUGUAAACCCCUUUCACCGGGGAAGGAUA